RNAcentral lists this ribosomal RNA (500 nucleotides) under uncultured bacterium. RNAcentral's name for it is "partial 16S ribosomal RNA". It matches the Rfam family "Bacterial small subunit ribosomal RNA", at positions 30 to 523 of the family's 1533-position model. The record is from RNAcentral.
AUUGAACGCUGGCGGCAUGCCUUACACAUGCAAGUCGAACGGCAGCACGGGAGCAAUCCUGGUGGCGAGUGGCGAACGGGUGAGUAAAGUAUCGGAACGUGCCCAGUCGUGGGGGAUAACGUAGCGAAAGUUACGCUAAUACCGCAUACGAUCUAUGGAUGAAAGCGGGGGAUCGCAAGACCUCGCGCGAUUGGAGCGGCCGAUAUCAGAUUAGGUAGUUGGUGGGGUAAAGGCUCACCAAGCCAACGAUCUGUAGCUGGUCUGAGAGGACGACCAGCCACACUGGGACUGAGACACGGCCCAGACUCCUACGGGAGGCAGCAGUGGGGAAUUUUGGACAAUGGACGCAAGUCUGAUCCAGCCAUGCCGCGUGCGGGAAGAAGGCCUUCGGGUUGUAAACCGCUUUUGUCAGGGAAGAAAAGGGUGUUUCUAAUACAGACGCCUCAUGACGGUACCUGAAGAAUAAGCACCGGCUAACUACGUGCCAGCCGCCGCCGUAA